Molecule: ribosomal RNA, 619 nt
Filed under: Naganishia albida
Lineage: Eukaryota; Fungi; Basidiomycota; Tremellomycetes; Filobasidiales; Filobasidiaceae
Description: partial large subunit ribosomal RNA
Rfam family: Eukaryotic large subunit ribosomal RNA
Source: RNAcentral
AUCUGGCCUCAAAUCAGGUAGGACUACCCGCUGAACUUAAGCAUAUCAAUAAGCGGAGGAAAAGAAACUAACAAGGAUUCCCCUAGUAACGGCGAGUGAAGCGGGAAGAGCUCAAAUUUGAAAUCUGGUAGCCUUCGGUUGCCCGAGUUGUAAUCUAGAGAAGUGUUUUCCGUGCCGGCCCAUGUACAAGUCCCUUGGAACAGGGCGUCAUAGAGGGUGAGAAUCCCGUCCUUGACAUGGACCCCCGGUGCUUUGUGAUACACUUUCAACGAGUCGAGUUGUUUGGGAAUGCAGCUCAAAAUGGGUGGUGAAUUCCAUCUAAAGCUAAAUAUUGGCGAGAGACCGAUAGCGAACAAGUACCGUGAGGGAAAGAUGAAAAGCACUUUGGAAAGAGAGUUAAACAGUACGUGAAAUUGUUGAAAGGGAAACGAUUGAAGUCAGUCAUGCUCUUGGGACUUACCUCCCUUGAGUGGGGUCAACAUCAGUUUUGAUCGAUGGAUAAAGGCACGGGGAAGGUAGCACUCUCGGGUGAACUUAUAGCCUCGCGUCAUAUACAUUGAUUGGGACUGAGGAACGCAGCAUGCCUUAUGGCCGGGAUUCGUCCACGUACAUGCUAGGA